AGAAGACCCCAUGGAGCUUUAAACCCAACAACACCUAUCUAUUUUAUUCCCCCAUAUUUAUACGGUUAUGUUUGUUUGGUUUUAGGUUGGGGUGACCGCGGAGUAUAAAACAACCUCCACGAAGAAAAGACUAAUAAUCUUUAUCAGAGAAAGACAUUUCUAAGAAAUAAUAUAUUAACUUUAAAUGAUCCGAUAUUCGAUUAACGAAUCAAGUUACCCUGGGGAUAACAGCGCAAUCCACCUUAAGAGCCCUUAUCGACAGGUGGGUUUACGACCUCGAUGUUGGAUCAGGGUAUCACAGUGGUGCAGCAGCUACUAAUGGUUCGUUUGUUCAACGAUUAA
Molecule: ribosomal RNA, 342 nt
Filed under: Boophis luciae
Lineage: Eukaryota; Metazoa; Chordata; Amphibia; Anura; Mantellidae
Description: partial 16S ribosomal RNA
Rfam family: Bacterial large subunit ribosomal RNA
Source: RNAcentral